AGAGUUUGAUCAUGGCUCAGGAUGAACGCUAGNGGCAGGCUUAACACAUNCAAGUNGAGGGGCAGCANGUCUUNGGAUGGUGGCGACCGGCGCACGGGUGCGUAACGCGUAUACANUNUACCNUGUAGAGGGGGAUAGCCCGGGGAAACCCGGAUUAAUACCCCAUAGUACUUAGAUCCAGCAUUGNAUUUAAGUUAAACAUUUAUGGNNACAAGAUGAGUAUGCGUCCUAUUAGUUAGUUGGUAAGGUAACGGCUUACCAAGACCGCGAUAGGUAGGGGUCCUGAGAGGGAGAUCCCCCACACUGGUACUGAGACACGGACCAGACUCCUACGGGACGCAGCAG
Molecule: ribosomal RNA, 345 nt
Filed under: uncultured bacterium
Lineage: Bacteria
Description: partial 16S ribosomal RNA
Rfam family: Bacterial small subunit ribosomal RNA
Source: RNAcentral